GUCCAUUUUGUAAAUUAAUGGCACUAUGUAUUUAAUCUUAAUUUAUAGGGCCUAUGAGUUCAUAUCUGGAAUAAAAUAAUGGCAAUUCUACAGAAAUAUCACUGCUAAGGAGUGUCAAACAAAUUCAGGAGGACUGAAUUAACUGGAUGUUCUCAUGCAGGAUGAAAAAGAAAUUGUUGACUUUAAUUGAAUAAUCAUUAUCAUUAAUGUAAGGUUAAAAAUAUUGAACAUUCAAAAGGAUGCAAACAGAAAGUUGAAAGUAGGGCCUGAAUUUCAGGUUAAGUGAUCCAGGAAUGGGGUUGGCCUUCUGCAGGCUAAAUCAAUUGAGGGAGAUCCCUUUAUUUCAAGUUAAAUGAUCAUUUGAAUAAGAUGCCAUUCAGGCAAUAAGGGCCUGGUUAGGUCCAUAUUUUAAUUCAAAUUAUUAAGUACUCGAUUUAUCCAUCAACAAAACCCAACAUUACAAUUUCCAUCGAGUGUGAUGCAACAAAACCAUCUAUAGUUUAUUAAUUAUGUUAACCUAAUCCAUCAAUUGGCAAUGAGCCUACUUUAGUAAUAAUUUUAUAUACUCCAUCUCUAAUUUGCCCAUUAUAUUUAUAAAUUAACUGACAGUUAAUACUAUUACUCUUUCACAUACUAAUAAAAUCAUCUGGGCCUGGUUGUUCGAAGCCCGUGUAAGCCUUUGAACUACCGGCCCCAGAUGAUUUUAUUAGUCUGUGAAAGAUUAAUUAUUAACUGUCAGUUUAUAAAUAUAAUGGGCAAAUAUAUGAUUAUGUAAAAAUUGCAUGCAUGGUUCAUAAAAUCUCUGUGAUAGACUUGCUCCAACAGAUUCAAAUUCCAUCCUGACAAUACCUAAAUAAUAAUUAUAGAGGUUGCAGUGUUGCACUACCUUUUGCUAAAAUACUGCCAUUGUUUACCAGUAUUUAAUAUGAACUCAAAAGUCAAAACACUUAAUAAUUAACACUAUGAAGUAUUUAGAUUUAUAAAUAGUACUUAGUAUUUUAUAAGCCUUAAUUGCAUAUAAAAUAGUUUAUAGUUAUCUUACC
This 1043-nucleotide long non-coding RNA is filed under the name Paramuricea clavata. Lineage: Eukaryota; Metazoa; Cnidaria; Anthozoa; Malacalcyonacea; Plexauridae. The record is from RNAcentral.